Cavia aperea (Brazilian guinea pig) is the source of this 106-nucleotide small nuclear RNA. NCBI's taxonomy places the organism in Eukaryota, Metazoa, Chordata, Mammalia, Rodentia, Caviidae. The record is from Ensembl.
AUCCACACAAUUAUUUUGAUAGCUUCAUGAAGCUGGAAGGAUACAGAAAUCAGGAUGGUCCAUGUGCUAAGAUGUCACGUAAAUUUGUGAAGUAUUCUGUAUUUUU